GAGUAAUGUCUGGGAAACUGCCUGAUGGAGGGGGAUAACUACUGGAAACGGUGGCUAAUACCGCAUAACGUCGCAAGACCAAAGAGGGGGACCUUCGGGCCUCUUGCCAUCAGAUGUGCCCAGAUGGGAUUAGCUUGUUGGUGAGGUAACGGCUCACCAAGGCGACGAUCCCUAGCUGGUCUGAGAGGAUGACCAGCCACACUGGAACUGAGACACGGUCCAGACUCCUACGGGAGGCAGCAGUGGGGAAUAUUGCACAAUGGGCGCAAGCCUGAUGCAGCCAUGCCGCGUGUAUGAAGAAGGCCUUCGGGUUGUAAAGUACUUUCAGCGGGGAGGAAGGUGUUGUGGUUAAUAACCACAGCAAUUGACGUUACCCGCAGAAGAAGCACCGGCUAACUCCGUGCCAGCAGCCGCGGUAAUACGGAGGGUGCAAGCGUUAAUCGGAAUUACUGGGCGUAAAGCGCACGCAGGCGGUCUGUCAAGUCGGAUGUGAAAUCCCCGGGCUCAACCUGGGAACUGCAUUCGAAACUGGCAGGCUUGAGUCUUGUAGAGGGGGGUAGAAUUCCAGGUGUAGCGGUGAAAUGCGUAGAGAUCUGGAGGAAUACCGGUGGCGAAGGCGGCCCCCUGGACAAAGACUGACGCUCAGGUGCGAAAGCGUGGGGAGCAAACAGGAUUAGAUACCCUGGUAGUCCACGCCGUAAACGAUGUCUACUUGGAGGUUGUGCCCUUGAGGCGUGGCUUCCGGAGCUAACGCGUUAAGUAGACCGCCUGGGGAGUACGGCCGCAAGGUUAAAACUCAAAUGAAUUGACGGGGGCCCGCACAAGCGGUGGAGCAUGUGGUUUAAUUCGAUGCAACGCGAAGAACCUUACCUGGUCUUGACAUCCACGGAAGUUUUCAGAGAUGAGAAUGUGCCUUCGGGAACCGUGAGACAGGUGCUGC
This 940-nucleotide ribosomal RNA is filed under the name Salmonella enterica subsp. enterica serovar Agama. Its description in RNAcentral is "bacterial SSU rRNA". It matches the Rfam family "Bacterial small subunit ribosomal RNA", at positions 108 to 1044 of the family's 1533-position model. The record is from RNAcentral. Lineage: Bacteria; Pseudomonadati; Pseudomonadota; Gammaproteobacteria; Enterobacterales; Enterobacteriaceae.